This 301-nucleotide ribosomal RNA is filed under the name uncultured bacterium. RNAcentral describes it as "partial 16S ribosomal RNA". It matches the Rfam family "Bacterial small subunit ribosomal RNA", at positions 509 to 807 of the family's 1533-position model. The record is from RNAcentral.
CAGUCGCCACGGGAAUACGGAGGGAGCUAGCGUUGUUCGGAAUUACUGGGCGUAAAGCGCACGUAGGCGGCUUUGUAAGUUAGAGGUGAAAGCCUGGAGCUCAACUCCAGAAUUGCCUUUAAGACUGCAUCGCUUGAAUCCAGGAGAGGUGAGUGGAAUUCCGAGUGUAGAGGUGAAAUUCGUAGAUAUUCGGAAGAACACCAGUGGCGAAGGCGGCUCACUGGACUGGUAUUGACGCUGAGGUGCGAAAGCGUGGGGAGCAAACAGGAUUAGAUACCCCUGUAGUCCCUGUCUCUUAUAC